AGUGAACGCUGGCGGUAGGCCUAACACAUGCAAGUCGAACGGCAGCACCGUAAGAGCUUGCUCUUACGGGUGGCGAGUGGCGGACGGGUGAGGAAUACAUCGGAAUCUACUUUUUCGUGGGGGAUAACGUAGGGAAACUUACGCUAAUACCGCAUACGACCUACGGGUGAAAGCAGGGGAUCUUCGGACCUUGCGCGAUUGAAUGAGCCGAUGUCGGAUUAGCUAGUUGGCGGGGUAAAGGCCCACCAAGGCGACGAUCCGUAGCUGGUCUGAGAGGAUGGUCAGCCACACUGGAACUGAGACACGGUCCAGACUCCUACGGGAGGCGGCAGUGGGGAAUAUUGGACAAUGGGCGCAAGCCUGAUCCAGCCAUACCGCGUGGGUGAAGAAGGCCUUCGGGUUGUAAAGCCCUUUUGUUGGGAAAGAAAAGCAGCAGGUUAAUACCCCGCUGUUCUGACGGUACCCAAAGAAUAAGCACCGGCUAACUUCGUG
This 492-nucleotide ribosomal RNA is filed under the name uncultured bacterium. RNAcentral describes it as "partial 16S ribosomal RNA". It matches the Rfam family "Bacterial small subunit ribosomal RNA", at positions 29 to 507 of the family's 1533-position model. The record is from RNAcentral.